Musa acuminata subsp. malaccensis (wild Malaysian banana) is the source of this 1711-nucleotide non-coding RNA. NCBI's taxonomy places the organism in Eukaryota, Viridiplantae, Streptophyta, Magnoliopsida, Zingiberales, Musaceae. The record is from RefSeq and is a predicted model, not a curated record.
UUCGCACGUGUACCGCACGCCUUUCCCUGGUCUCGGAUGAUCUAUUCCAUCGAUGGAUUAAGAACAAGGGAGAUUUGCCCUCGAGUUGGCUCGCCUGUUGCUCUCCGAUCGGCGCUUCCCACCAAACGAAGCGAUCAUGUCGUCCAAACAAGGUGGGAAGUUGAAGCCCUUGAAGCAGCCUAAAUCCGAAAAGAAGGAAUACGACAAGCUUAAUGGAAAUUGGCUAUUGAUAUCUUCGAUCUGUUUGCCUUUGGAGUUUAGUGGUAAUUCUUGUUUUCAAAGAAAUAAUUGGAUAGGUUUCAUGUGUGUCUUGAUGAACUUGGUUGUAACAAUUUUUCCUAGAGGAUUUGUUACUUUUUAGGCUUAAGGGGCACAGACAUAUCUUCACCAAAGCAGUGGCUCACUUUAUUUUCAGAUAUGCUUCCUUGGUUUCUUGGUGCCAGAAGUUUGCAUGCAAUUGUGCUGUUAUAGUAAUUUAUUAAUUGAGAUUUUUUACUCCUUUCUUUGGAUUAUCUUAGGCUCUUUGAAACUUGUGUAUCUUCACAUUGUAAAAACUCAAACUGAAUUCCGUAGAACCAUAUAGAUAUCCAACAUUAAUGAGAAGUAACCAUCUUGUGAAGCCAUCUCUUCAACAUGCUGACACGUCGGUGGAGAUGGAAAUAUAUAGCUUAAGUCUGUUAAUAUUAUACCAUAAACUUUGUAUACUGUUAGACUUUCUUAAAGAAUUUGCUUUAGACGUGCUAUUCAAUUGCCAAUUCAAUCAUAAGCUUCUAAAAUAAUGCAGUAUAGUUGUAAAGCAUUGUUGUUUCUUCUAAAACAUGUUUUCCUCGAUGUGAGAACUAGCCUUUCAAAAAUAUUUAAAGCACAACGCUGCCUAAUCUUAAAAUUGCCUCUGGUAUUAACAUAAUCAAACGCCUAAGCCCUAGAAAAUUGGACCCAUGGUUUCUUUGCAAUCUUUUACCAAACCAAAGGAGGAUACCUUGUUAUGUUCUUCCUCCCAUUUUCAUGCCUACUUCAGUUUUCUUCAACUUGUAAAAUGCAAAUAUGAUGUAUUAGUUGUCUAUUUUUUUAGGCUGUGGUAAAAUAUCUGCCUCUUGACUAAUGUGAUUGGACAGAUGACUCUUCUGUGUCCAAAUCUCAGGCUUACAUGCUAUAUACUUUUGAAUCUGCUUUCCUCAGAAUGUGUCUUGUUAAGCUCUUUGAUUUAGAUGAGCUCCUUUAAUCUUGAUUUCCUCUCUGCAAGCCAAUGAGGACUAAAGCUACUUUCUUUUGGAUGCUCUCACUUGUAUGACCUUUGUCUUGAUUUGGAUUCCUCCAUGCUUGCUCCCAAUUUGAGGGCUUGGAACUGCUGCAUGUUCUUUAACCUUUGUUUUAAUUUGCAUUCCUCCAUGCUUUCUCCCAUUUUGGGGGCUUGGAACUGCUACGUUUUCUUUAACCUACUAUCAAGGUCGGCUAUAACCAAAGAAUUUCUGGGUUCAAUUGGGAGAUGAGUUUAAUGAUGGAACACAGUCAGGGCAACUGGUGAAGAACGUUGCAUCCUUCCAUCAGUCCCUUUCCAAUGUUAUUUUCCUUUUCUGUGUUUAACUGUAGAAAGAACAUGAUUUACCUUGUGUAGAAUAUUAUACCAUGUUGAACAGUCUCCUGUAACAUAUGAAGCACAGAUGUUUUAUAUUGAUAUCAGUGAUUGUAUUUUAUUCUUUUUCUUUCUUCA